Molecule: ribosomal RNA, 273 nt
Filed under: uncultured bacterium
Lineage: Bacteria
Description: partial 16S ribosomal RNA
Rfam family: Bacterial small subunit ribosomal RNA
Source: RNAcentral
UACGAAGGGUGCAAGCGUUACUCGGAAUCACUGGGCGUAAAGGGUGCGUAGGCGGGUUAUCCAGUCUCGAGUGAAAUCCAACGGCUUAACCGUUGAACUGCUUGGGAAACUGGUAGCCUAGAGUGAGGGAGAGGCAGAUGGAAUUGGUGGUGUAGGGGUAAAAUCCGUAGAGAUCACCAGGAAUACCCAUUGCGAAGGCGAUCUGCUGGAACUCAAAUGACGCGGAGGCAAGAAAGCGGGGGGAGAACACAGGCGGAGAUAACCGUGUAGUCC